RNAcentral lists this ribosomal RNA (439 nucleotides) under uncultured Eubacteriales bacterium. Its description in RNAcentral is "bacterial SSU rRNA". It matches the Rfam family "Bacterial small subunit ribosomal RNA", at positions 338 to 795 of the family's 1533-position model. Lineage: Bacteria; Bacillati; Bacillota; Clostridia; Eubacteriales. The record is from RNAcentral.
CCUACGGGAGGCAGCAGUGGGGAAUAUUGCACAAUGGGGGAAACCCUGAUGCAGCGAUGCCGCGUGAACGAAGAAGGCUUUCGAGUCGUAAAGUUCUGUUCUUAGGGAAGAAAAUGACGGUACCUAAGGAGAAAGCACCGGCUAAAUACGUGCCAGCAGCCGCGGUAAUACGUAUGGUGCAAGCGUUGUCCGGAAUUACUGGGCGUAAAGAGUUCGUAGGCGGUCAAAUAAGUCAGGAGUGAAAGGCUACGGCUCAACCGUAGUGAGCUUUUGAAACUGUUUGACUUGAGUACUGGAGAGGAAAGUGGAAUUCCUAGUGUAGCGGUGAAAUGCGUAGAUAUUAGGAGGAACACCAGUGGCGAAGGCGGCUUUCUGGACAGUAACUGACGCUGAGGAACGAAAGCGUGGGGAGCAAACAGGAUUAGAUACCCCAGUAGUC